Molecule: unclassified non-coding RNA, 17 nt
Filed under: Mus musculus (house mouse)
Lineage: Eukaryota; Metazoa; Chordata; Mammalia; Rodentia; Muridae
Description: oocyte_clustered_small_RNA1793
Source: RNAcentral
AUUAAGAUGUCCGUGGU